CCAAGCUAUAUACGAAUCUUUCACAUCCUCUUUUUUAUAUUUAAUUAAUUCAAUGUCGUUUAUUAAGACUUCAUUCCGUAAAAAUUCCUGCCUUCUUUGAAUAUCAUGAACUGUUCUUGUUGGUUGAGCGCCUUUUUUAAGGAAAUCGAGAAUAGCAGGAAAUUUAAAUAAGUUUGAUUUGUUAUCGGAUCAUAAAACCCACUUUACGAAGAUCUCUUCCUUCUCUUCGGGAUCGAACAUCAAUUGCAACGAUUCGAUAAACGGCUCAUGGGAUAGAUGUAUAUGAAUAAUACCCCCCCUAGAAACGUAUAAGAGGCUUUGGCCUCGUACGGCUCGAGAAAAAAAAUUCAAAAAUUCAAUGAGUAGAAGUUAACUCUCUGUAUAAAUUCAAAUAUUAAAUAGAUUAAUAAAAACAUUAAAAAAAUUAACCAGUAUUGAAACCCGAAAUAUUUUUUAUGGAUUAGAUAUAUCAUGGCGAAUUCUUCAGAAAAAAUUGUGUCAAUAACUUUCAAUAUCUCAACAGAGAAUCCUUAAGUACUCUUUUUAUUGAGUAGUCUCUAACCCGUUUUUUUGUUUGUCUCAUUUUGAGAAUCUAUUGUGAUUCUUCAUUCUGAUCUAGUUGUUCAACAAUUGAAAACGGGAUUUCCUUGUUUCAGGAUUCUUUAUCCUUACUUUGAUCUUUGGGUUUAGACAUGACUUCGGUGAUCUUUAAUCGUUUUAUUAAAAAAGGGCAGCAACAAGCCCCUUAUUUUGUUUAUGAUUUCUUUUCUUUCUAUCAAGACUCAUACAAACGCUUGAUUCACGCAUGAUAGACUUUUGAUUCAAAAAAUUUUACAAUUUAAGAAAAUUUCCUUUUCCAUUGUAAAAUUACUUGAAAGGGCCUUUUUUCAAUAUAAAAAUAAAAAGACUUACGAAGUUGUUCCAACUUAUUGAUUCGCACUAACCCUAGAUCCUUACUCCUGCGAAAGGAAUAAAAACUUUCUAUUUUCCUCGAGCUCCAUCCUGUACUCUUUUUAUAUUCAAAAAAAGUGCAAGACUCUAAUAAAAUAGAACACAAAAUGUCGAGCCAAGAGCACCUCUAUUCCUAUAUAAAAGUGGCGGAUCAAAAAAUCCACAGCAGAUCAUGUCCUUCAAUUCAAGUCGCACGUUGCUUUCUACCACAUCGUUUAAACGAAGUUUUACCAUAACAUUCCUUUAGUUUGUGUAAUUGAUUCAAUGAUGGAAUCAUGAAUAGUCAUAGUUCAGUCAGUAUAUCGUAAUCUAUACUUUUUCUUUAUCUAUACUUUUUCUUUCUCUAUGAAUGGAAUAGUGAAUUUAGGCGUAAAAGGUUCAGUCAGAAUUCAAAUGAAUCCCAUAUUAGAU
This 1362-nucleotide long non-coding RNA is filed under the name Eutrema salsugineum. Its description in RNAcentral is "long non-coding RNA (ESAL_LNC000347)". The record is from RNAcentral. Lineage: Eukaryota; Viridiplantae; Streptophyta; Magnoliopsida; Brassicales; Brassicaceae.